AGUCGUAACAAGGUUUCCGUAGGUGAACCUGCGGAAGGAUCAUUACAGAAUGAAAAGUGCUUAACUGCAUUUUUUCUUACACAUGUGUUUUUCUUUUUUUGAAAACUUUGCUUUGGUAGGCCUUCUAUAUGGGGCCUGCCAGAGAUUAAACUCAACCAAAUUUUAUUUAAUGUCAACCGAUUAUUUAAUAGUCAAAACUUUCAACAACGGAUCUCUUGGUUCUCGCAUCGAUGAAGAACGCAGCGAAAUGCGAUAAGUAAUAUGAAUUGCAGAUAUUCGUGAAUCAUCGAAUCUUUGAACGCACAUUGCGCCCUUUGGUAUUCCAAAGGGCAUGCCUGUUUGAGCGUCAUUUCUCCCUCAAACCCUCGGGUUUGGUGUUGAGCGAUACGCUGGGUUUGCUUGAAAGAAAGGCGGAGUAUAAACUAAUGGAUAGGUUUUUUCCACUCAUUGGUACAAACUCCAAAACUUCUUCCAAAUUCGACCUCAAAUCAGGUAGGACUACCCGCUGAACUUAAGCAUAUCAAUAA
This 527-nucleotide unclassified non-coding RNA is filed under the name Lodderomyces parapsilosis. RNAcentral describes it as "Candida parapsilosis sequence contains 18S rRNA gene, ITS1, 5.8S rRNA gene, ITS2, 28S rRNA gene". The stretch from base 196 to 349 matches the Rfam family "5.8S ribosomal RNA". Lineage: Eukaryota; Fungi; Ascomycota; Pichiomycetes; Serinales; Debaryomycetaceae. The record is from RNAcentral.